AUUGAACGCUGGCGGAAUGCUUUACACAUGCAAGUCGAACGGUAGAGGGGCAACCCUUGAGAGUGGCGAACGGGUGAGUAAUGUAUCGGAACAUGCCCAGUCGUGGGGGAUAACGUAGCGAAAGUUACGCUAAUACCGCAUACGAUCUAUGGAUGAAAGCGGGGGAUCGCAAGACCUCGCGCGAUUGGAGUGGCCGAUAUCAGAUUAGGUAGUUGGUGGGGUAAAGGCCUACCAAGCCGACGAUCUGUAGCUGGUCUGAGAGGACGACCAGACACACUGGGACUGAGACACGGCCCAGACUCCUACGCGAGGCAGCAGUGGGGCAUUUUGGACAAUGGGCGAAAGCCUGAUCCAGCCAUUCCGCGUGCAGGAAGAAGGCCUUCGGGUUGUAAACUGCUUUUGUACGGAACGAAACGCGCUGUGCUAAUACCACGGCGUAAUGACGGUACCGUAAGAAUAAGCACCGGCUAACUACGUGCCAGCCGCCGCAGUAA
Molecule: ribosomal RNA, 494 nt
Filed under: uncultured bacterium
Lineage: Bacteria
Description: partial 16S ribosomal RNA
Rfam family: Bacterial small subunit ribosomal RNA
Source: RNAcentral